Molecule: ribosomal RNA, 407 nt
Filed under: uncultured bacterium
Lineage: Bacteria
Description: partial 16S ribosomal RNA
Rfam family: Bacterial small subunit ribosomal RNA
Source: RNAcentral
AUUGAACGCUAGCGGGAUGCCUUACACAUGCAAGUCGAACGGAGUGGCGAACGGGUGCGUAAUGUAUCGGGACGUGCCCAGUAGCGGGGGAUCACUACGCGGAAGCGUAACUGAUACCGAUAACUAUUGGAGCAGCCGAUAUGGGAUUCGCUCGUUGGUGGGGGAACGGCUAACCAAGGCGACGAACCGUAGCUGGUUUGAGAGGACGACCAGCAACACUGGGACUGAGACACGGCCCAGACUCCUACGGGAGGCAGCAGUGGGGAAUUUUGGACAAUGGGGGAAACCCUGAUCCAGCAAUCCCGCGUGUGCGAUGAAGGCUUUAGGGUUGUAAAGCACUUUUGGCAGGAAAGCGGUACCUGCAGAAUAAGCACCGGCUAACUACGUGCCAGCAGCCGCGGUAAUAC